RNAcentral lists this transfer RNA (70 nucleotides) under Phygasia ornata. RNAcentral describes it as "tRNA-Leu". The record is from RNAcentral. Lineage: Eukaryota; Metazoa; Arthropoda; Insecta; Coleoptera; Chrysomelidae.
AUUAUUUUGGCAGAUUAGUGCAAUAAAUUUAGAAUUUAUAUAUGUUUAAUUACAAAUAAUACUUGUUUUA